RNAcentral lists this ribosomal RNA (468 nucleotides) under uncultured bacterium. Its description in RNAcentral is "partial 16S ribosomal RNA". It matches the Rfam family "Bacterial small subunit ribosomal RNA", at positions 28 to 507 of the family's 1533-position model. The record is from RNAcentral.
GACGAACGCUGGCGGCGUGCUUAACACAUGCAAGUCGAACGGAAAGGCCCUGCGUUUGUGGGGUGCUCGAUUGGCGAACGGGUGAGUAACACGUGAGUAACAUGCCCUUGACUGUGGGAUAACUUCAGGAAACUGGGGCUAAUACCGGAGAGGAGCUCCUGCAGCAUGGUGGGGGUUGGAAAGUGUCGGCGGUUGGGGAUGGACUCGCGGCUUAUCAGCUUGUUGGUGGGGUAGUGGCUUACAAAGGCUUUGACGGGUAGGCGGCCUGAGAGGGUGACCGGCGACAUUGGGACUGAGAUACGGACCAGAAUGCUACGGGAGGCAGCAGUGGGGAAUAUUGCACAAUGGGCGGAAGCGUGAUGAAGAGACGCCGCGUGCGUGAUGCCGGCCUUCGAGUUGUAAACCGCUUUCGAAUGUGACGAAGCGUGAGUGACGGUAAUGGGUAAAGAAGCACCGGCUAACUACGUG